UUGUGGUGCCUGCGAAAACCCGUCAAGAAAACUGGUCUUUUCAUACAGAAAACCGCUCACCUGGACAUAGUUGCUCUCGCAAUACUCGGCGACUCUUUCCAAAUUCGUGAAACUAUCCAGCAGAGCGCUUCGACCUGCUGGAAUCUCCUCUUCCAAAAGCAUUUGUAGCUCCGCCAUUUUCACAUCUUUAGCGGGGCAGCGUGGGUUCUCUGGCGCCGCCACGGUUGCGUGCGGUACUGCAGCAAUCGCCAUCGCCAGCUGACUGCUAGAGUUGGGAGGUGGAAUGCCAGAAGUACAGUACAAUGUGGCACGCGUAUAGUGCACUAAAUAAUAUGACAAAGCCUCGCCAGCCAAGAGAGGUCUCUCCAGCGUGUCCGAGGUCAUCCCCGGGGCCUCCUCCCGGACCGAUACAGAGUCCACAUCACUGCAGACGCCGCACCGAUCCGCAUGUCGAUCUCCCAUUCCGUUCUUCCCUCACUCGUGAACAAGACCCCCAGAUACUUGAACUCUUCCGCUAGGGGCAGGAUCUCGUCCUCGACCCGGAGAGGGCCGACUGAGGACCAUGACUUCAGAUUUGGAGUGGCGCGGUGAAGAAAGUGAGGAGGCGCACAGCUGGGAUCGACUGGUAAUGAGUUCCCAGUCUGAAGCGCUGUAGGGACCCCAGGAAGGUGCCCAAUCGUCCAUCCAUCCAUCCAUUUUCUGUAUCGCUUACCCUCACUAGGAUCGCGGGCGUGCUGGAGCCUAUCCCAGCAAUCUUCGGGCGAGAGGCGGGGUCCACCCUCAACUGGUCGCCAGUCAAUCGUAGGGCACAUAUAGACAAACAACCAUUUGCACUCAUAUUCACACCUAUGGCCAAUUUAGAGUAUUUAAUUAACCUACCACGCAUGUUUUUUGGGAUGUGGGAGAACAUGCAAACUCCACACAGACGAGGCCGGGAUUUGAACUCCAGUCCGCAGAACUGUGGGGCAGAUGCGCUAACCAGUCGGCCACCAUUCCCAAUCGUUUCUCUUGUAAUUCUGUUUGUAGCCAUUUGCAUCCUGUCUUGCUCCAGGAAUAGUUAAAGAAAUGCUUCUUGUUUUUUGAUCGCUGUUCCGACAGGUUUUGGUGACGUCCUGGCGACCCUCCUUGCUCCCUCUUCAAGUCAUCUUAAGCCACGUUUUUCAGUUUUGCCUUUUGUUUUUGCCUUGUAACAUAGUUUUUCACUUGGUCUUUUCCUACCCGUUUGGUAGUCUUUUGUUCCCCAGUUUUUGCUCUUUUUUUCGUCAAAGGUUUUUUUUUAAAUAAAGCCUGCUA
Phycodurus eques (leafy seadragon) is the source of this 1293-nucleotide long non-coding RNA. RefSeq lists it as uncharacterized. The record is from RefSeq and is a predicted model, not a curated record. The transcript has 3 exons. Lineage: Eukaryota; Metazoa; Chordata; Actinopteri; Syngnathiformes; Syngnathidae.